GACGAACGCUGGCGGCGUGCUUAACACAUGCAAGUCGAACGGUGAUCUUGAGAGCUUGCUCUUGGGUGAUCAGUGGCGAACGGGUGAGUAACACGUGAGUAACCUGCCCCUGACUCUGGAAUAACUUCGGGAAACCGAAGCUAAUACCGGAUAUGACACAGAGCCGCAUGGUUUCUGUGUGGAAAGUUUUUCGGUUGGGGAUGGACUCGCGGCCUAUCAGCUUGUUGGUGAGGUAAUGGCUCACCAAGGCGACGACGGGUAGCCGGCCUGAGAGGGCGACCGGCCACACUGGGACUGAGACACGGCCCAGACUCCUACGGGAGGCAGCAGUGGGGAAUUUUGGGCAAUGGGGGAGACCCUGACCCAGCGACGCCGCGUGAGGGAAGACGGCCUUCGGGUUGUAAACCUCUUUUGUACGGGAAGAUAAUGACGGUACUGUACGAAUAAGUCCCGGCUAACUACGUG
This 465-nucleotide ribosomal RNA is filed under the name uncultured bacterium. RNAcentral's name for it is "bacterial SSU rRNA". It matches the Rfam family "Bacterial small subunit ribosomal RNA", at positions 28 to 507 of the family's 1533-position model. The record is from RNAcentral.